Molecule: ribosomal RNA, 305 nt
Filed under: uncultured bacterium
Lineage: Bacteria
Description: bacterial SSU rRNA
Rfam family: Bacterial small subunit ribosomal RNA
Source: RNAcentral
UAUCCUACGGGGGGCAGCAGUGGGGAAUAUUGCACAAUGGGGGAAACCCUGAUGCAGCAACGCCGCGUGAGUGAAGAAGUAUUUCGGUAUGUAAAGCUCUAUCAGCAGGGAAGAAGAAAUGACGGUACCUGAGUAAGAAGCCCCGGCUAACUACGUGCCAGCAGCCGCGGUAAUACGUAGGGGGCAAGCGUUAUCCGGAAUUACUGGGUGUAAAGGGAGCGUAGACGGUGAUGUAAGUCUGGAGUGAAAGGCGGGGGCCCAACCCCCGGACUGCUCUGGAAACUAUGCGACUGGAGUGCAGGAGG